GAAUAUUGCACAAUGGAGGAAACUCUGAUGCAGCGACGCCGCGUGAACGAUGAAGGCCUUCGGGUCGUAAAGUUCUGUCCUUGGGGACGAUAAUGACGGUACCCAAGGAGGAAGCCCCGGCUAACUACGUGCCAGCCGCCGCGGUAAUACGUAGGGGGCAAGCGUUGUCCGGAUUUAUUGGGCGUAAAGGGUGCGUAGGCGGCCUUUUAAGUCAGAUGUGAAAGGUCACGGCUCAACCGUGGUAAGCAUUUGAAACUGGAAGGCUUGAGUUAAGGAGAGGAAGGUGGAAUUCCUAGUGUAGCGGUGAAAUGCGUAGAUAUUAGGAGGAAUACCAGUGGCGAAGGCGACUUUCUGGACUUAUACUGACGCUGAGGCACGAAAGCGUGGGGAGCAAACAGG
This 399-nucleotide ribosomal RNA is filed under the name uncultured bacterium. Its description in RNAcentral is "bacterial SSU rRNA". It matches the Rfam family "Bacterial small subunit ribosomal RNA", at positions 359 to 776 of the family's 1533-position model. The record is from RNAcentral.